AGUGAACGCUGGCGGCAGGCCUAACACAUGCAAGUCGAGCGGCAGCGCGGGGCAACCUGGCGGCGAGCGGCGGACGGGUGAGGAAUGCAUCGGAAUCUACCCUGUCGUGGGGAUAACGUAGGGAAACUUACGCUAAUACCGCAUACGACCGAGAGGUGAAAGUGGGGGACCUUCGGGCCUCACGCGAUUGGAUGAGCCGAUGCCGGAUUAGCUAGUUGGUGGGGUAAAGGCCCACCAAGGCGACGAUCCGUAGCUGGUCUGAGAGGAUGAUCAGCCACAUUGGGACUGAGACACGGCCCAAACUCCUACGGGAGGCAGCAGUGGGGAAUAUUGGACAAUGGGCGCAAGCCUGAUCCAGCCAUGCCGCGUGUGUGAAGAAGGCCUUCGGUUGUAAGCACUUUGUUCGGGAAGGAAAUCGUACGGAUUAAUACUUUGUACGGAUGACGGUACCGAAAGAAUAAGCACCGGCUAACUUACGUGCCAGCAGCCGCGGU
This 494-nucleotide ribosomal RNA is filed under the name uncultured bacterium. Its description in RNAcentral is "bacterial SSU rRNA". It matches the Rfam family "Bacterial small subunit ribosomal RNA", at positions 29 to 521 of the family's 1533-position model. The record is from RNAcentral.